RNAcentral lists this unclassified non-coding RNA (378 nucleotides) under uncultured bacterium. RNAcentral describes it as "contains 16S-23S intergenic spacer region". The record is from RNAcentral.
UCCGACUUAACGUCGGCAGUCCUUCUAGAGUGCCCAACUGAAUGGUGGCAACUACCGACAGAGGUUGCGCUCGUUGCGGGACUUAACCCAACAUCUCACGACACGAGCUGACGACAGCCAUGCAGCACCUUCUCACCAGUUCCCCGAAGGGCACCCCGACAUCUCUGCCAGGUUCUGGUGGAUUUAACCCAGGUAAGGUUCUGCGCGUUGCGUCGAAUUGAACCACAUGCUCCACCGCUUGUGCGGGCCCCCGUCAAUUCCUUUGAGUUUCAGCCUUGCGGCCGUACUCCCCAGGCGGGGCACUUAAUGCGUUAGCGCCGGCACCCAGGGGGUCGCUCCCCCAGGCACCUAGUGCCCAUCGUUUACGGCGUGGACUAC